This 465-nucleotide ribosomal RNA is filed under the name uncultured bacterium. Its description in RNAcentral is "partial 16S ribosomal RNA". It matches the Rfam family "Bacterial small subunit ribosomal RNA", at positions 28 to 507 of the family's 1533-position model. The record is from RNAcentral.
GACGAACGCUGGCGGCGUGCUUAACACAUGCAAGUCGAACGGAAAGGCCCUGCUUGCUGGGUACUCGAGUGGCGAACGGGGGAGUAACACGUGGGUGAUCUGCCCUGCACUUCGGGAUAAGUCUGGGUAACUGGGUCUAAUACCGGAUAGGAGCUAUAUCUAGUGUGAGGGUUGGAGAGUUUUUUCGGUGUCGGAUGAGCUCGCGGCCUAUCCGCAUGAUGGUGGUGUAAUGGCUUACCAAGGCGGCGACGGGUAGCCGGCCCGGGAGGGUGGACGGGAACAGUGAGACUGAGAUUGGGCCCAGACCCCGACGCGAAGGAGAGGCAGGGGAGAGGACUCUAGGAGAGUGAGCCUGAGGCAGCGACAGCGAGGGGGGGAGAAAGACGUUCGGGUUAGAGACGUAAUGCGCUAUGAACGAAGCUGUUAGUGACGGUACCGAGAUAAGAAGCACCGGCUAACUACGUG